This 1498-nucleotide ribosomal RNA is filed under the name human gut metagenome. RNAcentral describes it as "bacterial LSU rRNA". It matches the Rfam family "Bacterial large subunit ribosomal RNA", at positions 1349 to 2925 of the family's 2925-position model. The record is from RNAcentral.
GGUUUCUGGAGGAAGGUUCGUCCGCUCCAGGUUAGUCGGGAGCUAAGGUGAGGCCUAACGGCGUAGCCGAUGCACAGACGGUAGAGAUUCCGUCACCACCAAAAGAGUUAAACACAGGGACACAUAUGAAGUCUCGGAGCCGGGUGUUGGUUCCGGUAGCGAUCGAGGGAAGUUAGUACCGAAGUCCGGGAUGGAAGAUGGCGAGAAAAGCUGUGUGUAUUUCUGCGGUGCCCGUACCGCAAACCGACACAGGUAGGUAGGAAGAAGAUUCUAAGGCCAACGGGAGAAGGGUUGUUAAGGAACUCGGCAAAUUGACCCCGUAACUUCGGGAGAAGGGGUGCUCCAGAGAUGGAGCCGCAGAGAAUCGGCCCAAGCAACUGUUUACCAAAAACACAGGUUUGUGCUAAAUCGAAAGAUGACGUAUACGAGCUGACGCCUGCCCGGUGCUGGAAGGUUAAGAGGAGAUGUGCAAGCAUUGAAUCGAAGCCCCAGUAAACGGCGGCCGUAACUAUAACGGUCCUAAGGUAGCGAAAUUCCUUGUCAGGUAAGUUCUGACCCGCAUGAAAGGCGUAAUGAUUUGGGCACUGUCUCAACAGCCCGCCCGGCGAAAUUGUAGUACCGGUGAAGAUGCCGGUUACCCGCGACAAGACGGAAAGACCCCAUGGAGCUUUACUGUAGCCUAAUAUUGGGUUUCGAUGUUGCAUGCACAGGAUAGAUGGGACUCUGGGAAACCAAGGCUUUGGCUUUGGCGGAGAGGCCGUUGGGAUACCAUCCUUGCGAUAUUGGAAUUCUAACCUGCGGCUCUGAAUCGAGUCGGGGGACAUUGUUAGGUGGGCAGUUUGACUGGGGCGGUCGCCUCCUAAAGAGUAACGGAGGCGUUCAAAGGUUCGCUCAGCUUGAACGGAAAUCAAGCAAAAGAGUGCAAACGCAGAAGCGAGCCUAACUGCGAGACUGACGGGUCGAGCAGUAACGAAAGUUGGAGUUAGUGAUCCGGUGGUAUGUGAGUGGAAAUGCCAUCGCUCAACGGAUAAAAGUUACCCUGGGGAUAACAGGCUGAUCUCCCCCAAGAGUCCACAUCGACGGGGAGGUUUGGCACCUCGAUGUCGGCUCAUCGCAUCCUGGGGCUGUAUUCGGUCCCAAGGGUUUGGCUGUUCGCCAAUUAAAGCGGUACGCGAGCUGGGUUCAGAACGUCGUGAGACAGUUCGGUCCCUAUCUGUCGUGGGCGCAGGAUAUUUGAUGGGAGCUGUCCCUAGUACGAGAGGACCGGGACGGACGUACCUCUGGCGCACCAGUUGUUCCGCCAGGAGCAUAGCUGGGCAACUACGUACGGAUCGGAUAAACGCUGAAAGCAUCUAAGCGUGAAGCCGACCCAAAGAUAAGAUAUCCCAUUGUUUCAAACAAGUAAGACCCCUUGAAGACUACAAGGUUGAUAGGCACGAUGUGUAAGUGGAGCGAUCCAUUCAGCAAGCGUGUACUAAUAGGUCGAGGGCUUGACCAC